UUGCCUUCAAGGCUAUACAUUAAGAUUCAACUCUUACCAUUGACCCCUUCAAGGGUUACCAACAAUACCUUGUAAUUACACUUAGAAUUCUCACAUUAAGCAUAAGUAAAGCAAGAUUAAUCAACUAAUUCAACAUAUCCACAAUUGUAGGUAAUCACCUUGCAUCAAUACAUUCAUCAAUAUUCAAGAAGUUGGGGUCAUGGGGUGCACAUGGGUUCAAGGGGAUUUUCACAAUAGAAAUCAUCAAUUAACUUCAAUUCAUACAUAAUAUAGGUCAAAUAACAUAAUGAAAACGUUUUUGUUGAGAACCCAUGGCUAGAGUAGAAACCCUAGUUUUUGGUCAAAUAGUCAAUUUCGAAAAUAGAAGUUUUGAAGGGCUUCAUGGAGAAACUAUUCCAUAAAUCAAGAUCCC
RNAcentral lists this long non-coding RNA (412 nucleotides) under Solanum tuberosum (potato). RNAcentral's name for it is "long non-coding RNA (STUB_LNC006197)". Lineage: Eukaryota; Viridiplantae; Streptophyta; Magnoliopsida; Solanales; Solanaceae. The record is from RNAcentral.